This 251-nucleotide ribosomal RNA is filed under the name uncultured prokaryote. RNAcentral describes it as "partial 16S ribosomal RNA". It matches the Rfam family "Bacterial small subunit ribosomal RNA", at positions 524 to 774 of the family's 1533-position model. The record is from RNAcentral.
UACGGAGGAUGCAAGCGUUAUCCGGAUUUAUUGGGUUUAAAGGGUGCGCAGGUUGUUUGAUAAGUCAGUGGUGAAAGUCUGUCGCUUAACGGUAGGAUUGCCAUUGAUACUGUUAGGCUUGAAUAUGGAUGAGGUAGGCGGAAUGUGUAGUGUAGCGGUGAAAUGCAUAGAUAUUACACAGAACACCGAUUGCGAAGGCAGCUUACUAAUCCAUCAUUGACGCUGAGGCUCGAAAGCGUGGGGAGCAAACA